This 74-nucleotide transfer RNA is filed under the name Candidatus Rifleibacteriota bacterium. RNAcentral's name for it is "tRNA-Ile". It matches the Rfam family "tRNA". Rfam says of the family: Transfer RNA (tRNA) molecules are approximately 80 nucleotides in length. Their secondary structure includes four short double-helical elements and three loops (D, anti-codon, and T loops). Further hydrogen bonds mediate the characteristic L-shaped molecular structure. tRNAs have two regions of fundamental functional importance: the anti-codon, which is responsible for specific mRNA codon recognition, and the 3' end, to which the tRNAs corresponding amino acid is attached (by aminoacyl-tRNA synthetases). tRNAs cope with the degeneracy of the genetic code in two manners: having more than one tRNA (with a specific anti-codon) for a particular amino acid; and 'wobble' base-pairing, i.e. permitting non-standard base-pairing at the 3rd anti-codon position. Lineage: Bacteria; Candidatus Rifleibacteriota. The record is from RNAcentral.
GGGCCUAUAGCUCAGUUGGUUAGAGCCUCCGGCUCAUAACCGGAAUGUCGCAGGUUCAAGUCCUGCUGGGCCCA